This 500-nucleotide ribosomal RNA is filed under the name uncultured bacterium. RNAcentral describes it as "partial 16S ribosomal RNA". It matches the Rfam family "Bacterial small subunit ribosomal RNA", at positions 30 to 523 of the family's 1533-position model. The record is from RNAcentral.
AUUGAACGCUGGCGGAAUGCUUUACACAUGCAAGUCGAACGGCAGCACGGACUUCGGUCUGGUGGCGAGUGGCGAACGGGUGAGUAAUGUAUCGGAACGUGCCCAGUCGUGGGGGAUAACGUGGUGAAAAUUACGCUAAUACUGCAUACGAUCUAUGGAUGAAAGCGGGGGAUCUCAAGACCUCGCGCGAUUGGAGCGGCCGAUAUCAGAUUAGGUAGUUGGUGGGGUAAAGGCCCACCAAGCCAACGAUCUGUACCUGGUCUGAGAGGACGACAAGCCACACUGGAACUGAGACACGGUCCAGACUCCUACGGGAGGCAGCAGUGGGGAAUUUUGGACAAUGGGCGAAAGACUGAUCCAGCCAUUCCGCGUGCAGGAUGAAGGCCCUCGGGUUGUAAACUGCUUUUGUACAGAACGAAAAGGUUUCUACUAAUACUAGGAGCUCAUGACGGUACUGUAAAAAUAAGCACCGGCUAACUACGUGCCAGCCGCCGCGGUAA